RNAcentral lists this ribosomal RNA (427 nucleotides) under uncultured bacterium. RNAcentral describes it as "bacterial SSU rRNA". It matches the Rfam family "Bacterial small subunit ribosomal RNA", at positions 355 to 775 of the family's 1533-position model. The record is from RNAcentral.
UAGGGAAUCUUCCGCAAUGGACGCAAGUCUGACGGAGCAACGCCGCGUGAGUGAUGAAGGUUUUCGGAUCGUAAAACUCUGUUGCGAGGGAAGAAACCGUGCCAGCUAACUACUGGCACCUUGACGGUACCUCGCCAGAAAGCCACGGCUAACUACGUGCCAGCAGCCGCGGUAAUACGUAGGUGGCAAGCGUUGUCCGGAAUUAUUGGGCGUAAAGCGCGCGCAGGCGGUCCCUUAAGUCUGAUGUGAAAGCCCACGGCUCAACCGUGGAGGGUCAUUGGAAACUGGGGGACUUGAGUGCAGAAGAGGAAAGUGGAAUUCCAUGUGUAGCGGUGAAAUGCGUAGAGAUGUGGAGGAACACCAGUGGCGAAGGCGACUUUCUGGUCUGUAACUGACGCUGAGGCGCGAAAGCGUGGGGAGCAAACAG